This 535-nucleotide ribosomal RNA is filed under the name uncultured bacterium. RNAcentral's name for it is "bacterial SSU rRNA". It matches the Rfam family "Bacterial small subunit ribosomal RNA", at positions 28 to 526 of the family's 1533-position model. The record is from RNAcentral.
GACGAACGCUGGCGGCGUGCCUAACACAUGCAAGUCGAACGGUCAAUCAGAGGAAGUGUUUUCGGAUAUGGAAUCUGAUAUGAUAGUGGCGGACGGGUGAGUAACGCGUGGGUGAUCUGCCCAUAAGAGUGGAAUAACAGUUGGAAACGACUGCUAAUACCGCAUAAGCUAUACGAUUCAUUUGGUAUAGUAAAGAUGGCCUCUGAUUCAAGCUGUCGCUUAUGGAUGAGCCCGCGUCUGAUUAGCUAGUUGGUGGGGUAAAGGCCUACCAAGGCGACGAUCAGUAGCCGGCCUGAGAGGGUGAACGGCCACACUGGGACUGAGACACGGCCCAGACUCCUACGGGAGGCAGCAGUGGGGAAUAUUGCGCAAUGGGGGAAACCCUGACGCAGCGACGCCGCGUGAGCGAAGAAGGCCUUCGGGUCGUAAAGCUCUGUUUUAGGGGACGAGAGCGAUCAUGAGUAAUAUGCGUGGUCGAGGACGGUACCCUAAGAGGAAGCCCCGGCUAACUACGUGCCAGCAGCCGCCGUAACAC